This 73-nucleotide transfer RNA is filed under the name Penaeus chinensis. RNAcentral's name for it is "tRNA-Arg". It matches the Rfam family "tRNA". From Rfam's summary of the family: Transfer RNA (tRNA) molecules are approximately 80 nucleotides in length. Their secondary structure includes four short double-helical elements and three loops (D, anti-codon, and T loops). The record is from RNAcentral. Lineage: Eukaryota; Metazoa; Arthropoda; Malacostraca; Decapoda; Penaeidae.
GGCCUUUUGGCGCAACGGAUAACGCGUCUGACUACGGAUCAGAAGAUUCCAGGUUCGAAUCCUGGCAAGGUCG